AAGUCGUAACAAGGUUUCCGUAGGUGAACCUGCGGAAGGAUCAUUAUUGAAUAAACUUGAACAGGCUGUUUGCUGGUCCCCCUCCUUGGGGUGCAUGUGCACGCUUGUCAUCUUUAUCAUUUCUCCAAAACUGUGCACCUCUUGUAGACCUGGAGCUGGAUUUCAUUCGAAUUGGGAACUGCUGUGCUUCAUGAGCCAGCUUUACCUUGCAUAUUUCCAUGGUCUAUGUUCACACAAAACCUGUUUAGAAUGGUUGGCCUAAAUAUUAUAAAAAGUAAUACAACUUUCAGCAACGGAUCUCUUGGCUCUCGCAUCGAUGAAGAACGCAGCGAAAUGCGAUAAGUAAUGUGAAUUGCAGAAUUCAGUGAAUCAUCGAAUCUUUGAACGCAUCUUGCGCUCCUUGGUAUUCCGAGGAGCAUGCCUGUUUGAGUGUCAUUUUAACUUCUCAACCAUGUCGAAUUGUUUUUCGAGGUGGCUUGGACAUGGGGGUUUUGCAGGCUUUCAAUGUGAAGUCGGCUCUCCUGAAAUGCAUUAGUGGUAUCUGAAGCAGAACUGCUACUAUUAGGUGUGAUAAUUAUCUAUGCCUUUUGGUAUACUGCAUGAACAGAUUGCACUGCUUCCAACUGUACACUCUUUGGUGUUUGACAAAUUUGACCUCAAAUCAGGUAGGACUACCCGCUGAACUUAAGCAUAUCAAUAAGCGGAGGAAAGAAACUAACAAGGAUUCCCCUAGUAACUGCGAGUGAAGCGGGAAAAGCUCAAAUUUGAAAUCUGAUGGUCCUUGACCGUCCGAGUUGUAAUCUAGAGAAGUGUUACCUGUGCUGGACCGUGUACAAGUCUCCUGGAAUGGAGCAUCACAGAGGGUGAGAAUCCCGUCUUUGACACGGACUGCCUGUACAUUAUGGUGCGCUCUCGAAGAGUCGAGUUGUUUGGGAAUGCAGCUCAAAAUGGGUGGUAAAUGCCAUCUAAAGCUAAAUAUUGGCGAGAGACCGAUAGCGAACAAGUACCGUGAGGGAAAGAUGAAAAGAACUUUGGAAAGAGAGUUAAACAGUACGUGAAAUUGCUGAAAGGGAAACGCUUGAAGUCAGUCACGUUGGCUAGAAAUCAGCCUUGCUUCUGCUUGGUGUACUUUCUGGUUGACGGGUCAGCAUCAAUUUUGACCAUUGGAUAAAGUCGUUGGGAAUGUGGCAUCUUCGGAUGUGUUAUAGCCCUAUGUCGCAUACAGUGGUUGGGAUUGAGGAACUCAGCACGCCCGCAAGGGACGGGUUUCGACCACGUUCGUGCUCAGGAUGCUGGCAUAAUGGCUUUAAUCGACC
This 1316-nucleotide ribosomal RNA is filed under the name uncultured fungus. RNAcentral's name for it is "eukaryotic LSU rRNA". The stretch from base 652 to 1316 matches the Rfam family "Eukaryotic large subunit ribosomal RNA", at positions 1 to 649 of the family's 3401-position model. The record is from RNAcentral. Lineage: Eukaryota; Fungi.